This 159-nucleotide ribosomal RNA is filed under the name Agrocybe pediades. RNAcentral describes it as "5.8S ribosomal RNA". It matches the Rfam family "5.8S ribosomal RNA". From Rfam's summary of the family: 5.8S ribosomal RNA (5.8S rRNA) is a component of the large subunit of the eukaryotic ribosome. It is transcribed by RNA polymerase I as part of the 45S precursor that also contains 18S and 28S rRNA. Functionally, it is thought that 5.8S rRNA may be involved in ribosome translocation. Lineage: Eukaryota; Fungi; Basidiomycota; Agaricomycetes; Agaricales; Agrocybaceae. The record is from RNAcentral.
AACUUUCAGCAACGGAUCUCUUGGCUCUCGCAUCGAUGAAGAACGCAGCGAAAUGCGAUAAGUAAUGUGAAUUGCAGAAUUCAGUGAAUCAUCGAAUCUUUGAACGCACCUUGCGCUCCUUGGUAUUCCGAGGAGCAUGCCUGUUUGAGUGUCAUUAAA